Alligator mississippiensis (American alligator) is the source of this 4333-nucleotide long non-coding RNA. RefSeq lists it as uncharacterized. The record is from RefSeq and is a predicted model, not a curated record. NCBI's taxonomy places the organism in Eukaryota, Metazoa, Chordata, Crocodylia, Alligatoridae. The transcript has 3 exons.
GAGGUUGUGCGCAUGCGCACCAGAGACGCCUUCCUUGGCCCUGCAGAGCAUCCACGUGUGCAAGGGAACUGCACGGGUUCCGCAAGGGUGUGCGUGGGAUGCACGUGUGCGCGGGCAUGGGGUUUGCACGCGUGCCAGAGAUCCUCACACGUGCAAGGCAUCUGUAGGUGUGCAUGAGAUCCGUGCACGGCUGUGGGAUCCUGACGUGUGCCCGGGAUUGGUACUGUUACCUGGGAUCCGCAUGGGUGCGCAGGUGCUAUCCAUGUGUCUGGGAUCCAUGUGUGCCCGGGAUCCGCAUGUGUGCCCGGGAUCCACACGUGUGCACAGGUGCUAUCCGUGUGCCCAGGAUCUGCAUGUGUGCAUGGGAUGGACCCGUGUGCACAGGUUCUAUCCAUGUGCCUGGGAUCUGCACGUGUGCAUGGGACGGACCCAUGUGCCUGGGAUGGACCCGUGUGCACAGGUGCUAUCCAUGUGCCCGGGAUCUGCAUGUGUGCAUGGGACUGACCCGUGUGCCUGGGAUCGACCCGUGUGCACAGGUGCUAUCCAUGUGCCCGGGAUCUGCAUGUGUGCAUGGGACUGACCCGUGUGCCUGGGAUCGACCCGUGUGCACAGGUGCUAUCCAUAUGCCCGGGAUCUGCAUGUGUGCAUGGGACUGACCCGUGUGCCUGGGAUCGACCCGUGUGCACAGGUGCUAUCCAUGUGCCCGGGAUCUGCAUGUGUGCAUGGGACUGACCCGUGUGCCUGGGAUCGACCCGUGUGCACAGGUGCUAUCCAUAUGCCCGGGAUCUGCAUGUGUGCAUGGGACUGACCCGUGUGCCUGGGAUCGACCCGUGUGCACAGGUGCUAUCCAUGUGCCCGGGAUCUGCAUGUGUGCAUGGGACUGACCCGUGUGCCUGGGAUCGACCCGUGUGCACAGGUGCUAUCCAUAUGCCCGGGAUCUGCAUGUGUGCAUGGGACUGACCCAUGUGCCUGGGAUGGACCCGUGUGCACAGGUGCUAUCCAUGUGCCUGGGAUCUGCAUGUGUGCAUGGGACUGACCCAUGUGCCUGGGAUGGACCCGUGUGCACAGGUGCUAUCCAUGUGCCUGGGAUCUGCAUGUGUGCAUGGGACGGACCCAUGUGCCUGGGAUGGACCCGUGUGCACAGGUGCUAUCCAUGUGCCCGGGAUCUGCAUGUGUGCAUGGGACUGACCCGUGUGCCUGGGAUCGACCCGUGUGCACAGGUGCUAUCCAUAUGCCCGGGAUCUGCAUGUGUGCAUGGGACUGACCCGUGUGCCUGGGAUCGACCCGUGUGCACAGGUGCUAUCCAUAUGCCCGGGAUCUGCAUGUGUGCAUGGGACUGACCCGUGUGCCUGGGAUCGACCCGUGUGCACAGGUGCUAUCCAUGUGCCUGGGAUCUGCAUGUGUGCAUGGGACGGACCCAUGUGCCUGGGAUGGACCCGUGUGCACAGGUGCUAUCCAUGUGCCCGGGAUCUGCAUGUGUGCAUGGGACUGACCCGUGUGCCUGGGAUCGACCCGUGUGCACAGGUGCUAUCCAUAUGCCCGGGAUCUGCAUGUGUGCAUGGGACUGACCCGUGUGCCUGGGAUCGACCCGUGUGCACAGGUGCUAUCCAUAUGCCCGGGAUCUGCAUGUGUGCAUGGGACUGACCCGUGUGCCUGGGAUCGACCCGUGUGCACAGGUGCUAUCCAUGUGCCCGGGAUCUGCAUGUGUGCAUGGGACUGACCCGUGUGCCUGGGAUCGACCCGUGUGCACAGGUGCUAUCCAUAUGCCCGGGAUCUGCAUGUGUGCAUGGGACUGACCCAUGUGCCUGGGAUCGACCCGUGUGCACAGGUGCUAUCCAUGUGCCUGGGAUCUGCAUGUGUGCAUGGGACGGACCCAUGUGCCUGGGAUGGACCCGUGUGCACAGGUGCUAUCCAUGUGCCCGGGAUCCGUCUACCACCUGCAAGAGCCUCUCUGGCUGCUGGCUGCGGGCAGGGAGCAGGCACGUGCUGGUGCCGCCUGCGCCGCUGUGCAGUUUCCGGGGCUCGGUGUCGGUGCGCUGGCAGGAGGCAGCACAACCCAAGGACCCCAUCUUCGUCGUCCUGUCGUCAUCUCCAAGGCUCCCUCCUCCCAGCUGAGGGGGAAGCCCAUGACAAGCCCUCCAGGCGCUGCGCUAUCCUGCCGCCUGGCUGGAGGGUGCCGGCUGCUCCGGUGAGGAAGUCACUAAUGAAAGUCAAACAUGUCUGUUUUUGCAGGGGUCUCGCUGGAAAGCUGCCCAGACUUAAGUGUGAGCGCGUGACACCUGUGUAAGAAUGAAUCCCCAGGAAGCCAUAGAGAAAAAAACCCAAUUGCAAUGCCACAUUUCUAAAAGAGGUGGCAAAAGUUACACCCCCCCGACCAAAGCAAAAGGUGAGACUUGCAGCAGCAGCAAGGCAGAGCGCUGGAGAUCCCGAGAGAUGCCUUGACGAAGAAGGGCCGCGUGCUGAUGGAGACGCCGCAGGGCCUGAUUUGCUGUGGUAUCAAUGAGCCCAAGGUGUGGAUGGAGCGGUACGCCGUCCUGACGGAGCAGCAGGUGAGAGACCUCAUCUCCGUGCUGGAGGAAGCCAAGUUCAUGGGAGAUCCUUCCAGUAAGGAGCUUUAUGCUUUAUCUAGAAUCUGAAGACAAAUCCAUUUAUCUGGGGCCACAAUUCUGGGAGACUCCGAGUCACCUUGAGGGAGAUUCCCAGCCGGGGACUUCAAUCCACGAGGCCUCUCGCCUCCUGGGCACGUGGGACAUCCCCUACCAUGACUGCGAUGCUAAAUGCUGAGUAUGAGUUUGAGCUGACCCUACGGCACUGGGGAGACUACUGAUGCCAAAACCUCGAGCAGGGGCGGGGAGCAGAUGCCAAAACCUCGAGCAGAUGCAAGCAGGGGAGAUGCUCCAGCUGUGGGGAGACGGCGAGGAGCUCCGUCUGCAAGAGCGCCGUGCCUGACGAGCUCUUUGCUUGUCUGAACAACCGGAGGAGGAGCACUGAUAAAAUGCUGAGGAAGAAGUUGCUGCCGGCCCAGGACAGGCUGCAGCAGCAUGUAGUGGCACUUGGGGUAAUAGCUGAUGCUGUGGACGAGGUUCACAGAGAAGCCACGAUAGCAAAUGUUGCUGGAGGGAGAGCGGGCAUCACGGGCAGGAUCACCCACAUUGUGGCGCGCUGCAUUGUCCCCGAGACCUUUGUUGUAUGUCUGAUGCUCUCCAGCAGACAGCUUGUCAUCUAUAUAGUAGGCAGUGCGAUGGGUGCAGCAGUGACUGCCUCCGACAUAUCACUGGAGAGUCAAGCCAAGAAGGGGGAGAGAAGCAGGAUCCAGACAAAGGUCAGGCUGUGCUGAAGCAAAUCCAGAAGUGCAUAAAACAGCUCUCUAACGAACAACAGGAUUCAGAAAGCAAUUUUGAUCAUGAUCUGCUGCUUAUGAUCCUGCAAAUUGGGUCAGCAGCAAGGUGGACCGCUCUCAACACCAUGAAGAUGUUCAAAGGUGGAAAGCGGCUGAGUAAUGCCGGCUACGUUGCAAGAUUCGCAGGAGCUAACGUGUGUCCUGAUAACCCUGAAAACCUGAUCCGUCUUCUGUGUAGUCAAGAACUUCAAAGAUGCCAAAAGAGAGCUGACAUCUGAGAUCCGAGAGACAGCCGCUGAACUGGAGCGAGUGAUUUACCAAGCCAACUACACGUAUGAGGCACUGAUUGGAAAGAAACUCAAGACGACGCAACACUGCUGCUGGGUGCUGGCACCGGUGAGGUUGCAGCCCUGCACCUUGUGCCCCACCAUCGGCACAGAAAGCUGGGGGGCAUGUGCCCCCCCAUGCAUCACAUACGGCGAGAGACCAGAACCAAACCGUGAGGAAUAAUAAUGGGCCUGAGCAUCCAUCUCCAACGGCUGCAGCUAGCGUUAAAGGGACUCAGGACCUCACCCAACAAUGUGCGUAUGACUAGCGAGAACAUGCAGACAGUGCCCGUCCUGCAGGCCUCGGACAUGGGCAGUAUCUGAAAGGCCACGAUGGUAAGAAAUCCUCCCUUCCAGCAGUGUAUCUUGCCCCGGGACAUCAAUCCCAGCUAACUGGCACCUUCCCAGUCCAGAGGAAACCUGGUUCAGGCCCUUUCACAAACAUCAGUGAAACCAAGAAAUGUGACUUAAACCCAUCCAAAACACUUCUUAGACUAUUAGCCAGCUAUAUUAGUCUAUCCCCAGUGAACGCAGGGGAUAGGCUGGAGGGAAAACUGGAGGGCUCUGCAAAUGCAGGAAUGCUGGCUGAUGAUACGCGCCACCUUCCUCCUGGGUCUCAGGAUCCUUGUUGAUUCUUGUACCAGGACCAAUAAAAGCUCAGGCUACA